AAUAGAUACCCGGGUAGUCCUUGCCGUAAACUAUGUAUACUUGGUGUAGCUGGACUCAACCCCAGCUGUGCCGUAGCUAACGCGAUAAGUAUACCGCCUGGGGAGUACGCUCGCAAGGGUGAAACUCAAAAGAAUUGACGGGGACCCGCACAAGCAGUGGAGCAUGUGGUUUAAUUCGAUGCAACGCGAAGAACCUUACCCAGGCUUGACAUAUAGAGGAAUAUGGCAGAGAUGCCAUAGCCCGCGAGGGUCUCUAUACAGGUGCUGCAUGGCUGUCGUCAGCUCGUGCCGUGAGGUGUUGGGUUAAGUCCCGCAACGAGCGCAACCCUUAUCAUUAGUUGCCAGCACGUAAUGGUGGGAACUCUAGUGAGACUGCCCGGGUUAACCGGGAGGAAGGUGAGGAUGACGUCAAGUCCGCAUGGCCCUUAUGUCUGGGGCUACACACGUGCUACAAUGGUCGGUACAGAGGGAAGCCAAGCCGCGAGGCGGAGCAAAUCCAUAAACGCCGGCCCCAGUUCAGAUUG
RNAcentral lists this ribosomal RNA (524 nucleotides) under uncultured bacterium. RNAcentral describes it as "bacterial SSU rRNA". It matches the Rfam family "Bacterial small subunit ribosomal RNA", at positions 777 to 1300 of the family's 1533-position model. The record is from RNAcentral.